UAUGAAACGUUGAUGGGAAGUAGUAACAAGUUCCGUUUUUUGAAGAGAGCCAGCGGUUGGUGCGAGCUGGUAAAAACACUUGUGAAUCCGUCCUGGAGUUGCGCGACUGAAAAUUAGUAAGUUGCAGCCGGUUGAAAAGCCGUUAUGAGACAAGUGGAUUUGUUCGCAUGGACAAAUCAAUCAGGGUGGCAACGCGGGUAGCUCUCGUCCCUUUC
RNAcentral lists this non-coding RNA (215 nucleotides) under Paenisporosarcina sp. Its description in RNAcentral is "T-box sequence". It matches the Rfam family "T-box leader". Rfam says of the family: Uncharged tRNA acts as the effector for transcription antitermination of genes in the T-box leader family. T-boxes are found upstream of many aminoacyl-tRNA synthetase genes and some amino acid biosynthetic genes usually in Gram-positive bacteria. Lineage: Bacteria; Bacillati; Bacillota; Bacilli; Caryophanales; Caryophanaceae. The record is from RNAcentral.